AGUGGGAUAACUGGGUCAAAGAGGUUCUAUUCCAAGUUUCUGAGGAAUCUCCAUACUGCUUUCCAGAGUGGUUGCACCAAUUUGCAGUCCCACCAGCAGU
RNAcentral lists this microRNA precursor (100 nucleotides) under Marmota monax (woodchuck). The record is from RNAcentral. Lineage: Eukaryota; Metazoa; Chordata; Mammalia; Rodentia; Sciuridae.